RNAcentral lists this ribosomal RNA (1848 nucleotides) under Rhipicephalus microplus (southern cattle tick). RNAcentral's name for it is "SSU rRNA". It matches the Rfam family "Eukaryotic small subunit ribosomal RNA". Lineage: Eukaryota; Metazoa; Arthropoda; Arachnida; Ixodida; Ixodidae. The record is from RNAcentral.
GGUUGAUCACUGCACCAGUAAUCAUAUGCUUGUCUCAAAGAUUAAGCCAUGCAUGUCUAAGUACAUGCCGAAAUAAGGCGAAACCGCGAAUGGCUCAUUAAAUCAGUUAUGGUUCCAUAUAGAUCGUUCAUUCCAUCUUGGAUAACUGUGGCAAUUCUAGAGCUAAUACAUGCAGUGAGCCUGGAGCCCUUUGGGUAACGGGUGCUUUUCAUUAGACAAAGAUCCCAGAAUCGAGUAUAUAACAGGCCCGUUAAAUAUGAAUGUAGGUGACUCUGGAUAACUUUGUGCUGAUCGCAUGGCCACGAGCCGGCGACGUUUCUUUCAAGUGAUAACUGCCUUCAUCAACUAUUACCAGAAAUGGUAGCGUUACUUGCUUACCAUGGUUGUUACGGGUAACGGAGAAUCAGGGUUCGAUUCCGGAGAGGGAGCCUGAGAAACGGCUACCACAUCCAAGGAAGGCAGCAGGCGCGCAAAUUACCCACUCCCGGCACGGGGAUAUCACGGUAGUGAGAAAAAUAACAAUACGGCGGGACUCUUUUGAGGCCCCGUAAUUGAAAUGAGUACACUCUAAAUCCUUUAACGAGGAUCAAUUGGAGGGCAAGUCUGGUGCCAGCAGCCGCGGUAAUUCCAGCUCCAAUAGCGUAUACUAAAGCUGCUGCGGUUAAAAAGCUCGUAGUUGGAUCUCAGUUCCAGACGAGUAGUGCAUCUACCCGAUGCGACGGCUCGGACUGAACAUCAUGCCGGUUCUUUCUUGGUGCACUUCAUUGUGUGCCUCGAGAUGGCCGGUGCUUUUACUUUGAAAAAAUUAGAGUGCUCAACGCAGGCGAGUCGCCUGAAUAAACUUGCAUGGAAUAAUAGAACAAGACCUCGUUUCUGUUCUGUUGGUUUUUGGAAUGGAAUACGAGGUAAUGAUUAAGAGGGACGGACGGGGGCAUUCGUAUUGCGGCGCUAGAGGUGAAAUUCUUGGACCGUCGCAAGACGAACUACUGCGAAAGCAUUUGCCAAGAAUGUUUUCAUUGAUCAAGAACGAAAGUCAGAGGUUCGAAGGCGAUCAGAUACCGCCCUAGUUCUGACCAUAAACGAUGCCAACCAGCGAUCCGCCUGAGUUACUCAAAUGACUCGGCGGGCAGCUUCCGGGAAACCAAAGUAUUUGGGUUCCGGGGGAAGUAUGGUUGCAAAGCUGAAACUUAAAGGAAUUGACGGAAGGGCACCACCAGGAGUGGAGCCUGCGGCUUAAUUUGACUCAACACGGGAAAACUUACCCGGCCCGGACACUGGGAGGAUUGACAGAUUGAGAGCUCUUUCUUGAUUCGGUGGAUGGUGGUGCAUGGCCGUUCUUAGUUGGUGGAGCGAUUUGUCUGGUUAAUUCCGAUAACGAACGAGACUCUAGCCUAUUAAAUAGGUGCGGGGUUCCCAGCACCUUACAACCUUCUUAGAGGGACAAGCGGCUCCUAGCCGCACGAAACAGAGCAAUAACAGGUCUGUGAUGCCCUUAGAUGUCCGGGGCCGCACGCGCGCUACACUGAAGGAAGCGACGUGUCUUUAUCCCUGUCUGAAAAGACUGGGUAACCCGUGGAACUUCUUUCGUGAUUGGGAUAGGGGCUUGCAAUUGUUCCCCUUGAACGAGGAAUUCCCAGUAAGCGCGAGUCAUAAGCUCGCGUUGAUUACGUCCCUGCCCUUUGUACACACCGCCCGUCUCUACUACCGAUUGAAUGAUUUAGUGAGGUCUUCGGACCGAUGUCCGGCGCGGCCUUUCGGUUGCGCCGGUCUGUUGGAAAGAUGACCAAACUUGAUCAUUUAGAGGAAGUAAAAGUCGUAACAAGGUUUCCGUAGGUGAACCUGCGGAAG